RNAcentral lists this ribosomal RNA (468 nucleotides) under uncultured bacterium. Its description in RNAcentral is "partial 16S ribosomal RNA". It matches the Rfam family "Bacterial small subunit ribosomal RNA", at positions 28 to 507 of the family's 1533-position model. The record is from RNAcentral.
GACGAACGCUGGCGGCGUGCUUAACACAUGCAAGUCGAACGGAAAGGCCCUGCUUUUGUGGGGUGCUCGAGUGGCGAACGGGUGAGUAACACGUGAGUAACCUGCCCUUCACUUUGGGAUAACUUCAGGAAACUGGGGCUAAUACCGGAUAGGAGCUCCUGCUGCAUGGUGGGGGUUGGAUAGUUUCGGCGGUUGGGGAUGGACUCGCGGCUUAUCAGCUUGUUGGUUGGGUAGUGGCUUACCAAGGCUUUGACGGGUAGCCGGCCUGGGAGGGUGACCGGCCACAUUGGGACUGAGAUACGGCCCAGACUCCAACGGGAGGCAGCGGUGGGGAGUAUUGCACAGUGGGCGGAAGCCUGAUGCAGCAACGCCGCGUGCGGGAUGACGGCCUGCGGGUUGUGAACCGCUUUCGCCUGUGACGAAGCGUGAGUGACGGUAAUGGGUAAAGAAGCACCGGCUAACUACGUG